GGAAACCGAAAACUCGGCGGCCGAGGCUCCGUGCCCCGCGCGCAGCGCUGCUCCUGCCCCGGCCAAGGACGCACGGGCCAGCCGGCGGAACCAGAGGUUUUCAGUGAUGUUGAGAGUCAACAGGAAAUUAAUCAGCAAGUAGAAAAUUGAAAGAAGAUCUGCAUCUUACUGCAGGAGUCAUUAAAAUAAAAGCAGAUUUGGCAAAAUGGCAAGAACCAGAGGAUGAGGAUGUAAAACAAAAACUUUUGGAGUCAUUUUGCCACCAGGAUGAAAAUAGGAUGAAGCUGACAUGACAAAGGUGCAGGUGUUCUGAUAUGAGAAGAACUUCUUCAGAAGGUAUCUUAAUGCAUAUGGGGAAACUGAGGCCCAGUUGUCAUAGCCUUCUCCAGCAUGUGUUCCUUCUGUAUUUCAGACAUGGCAGAGGAGACACAGCAAUAACUAAGGGGCAACUAUUGCAUCCAGAAAAAAAAAAAAUGAAGAUAAUGACUUCUCUGCAACUAAGAUGAAGAUCCACUGAACUUUGGGGUUUGAAAUGCAACGUUAGAACUUCAGACUCCCGGCACCUAGGUCUCCAGCUGCUGGGUGGUGCCAGCAUCAGAGAUACACUCUGCAAAACAUAUACUGUCUUAGGAAAAAGUGACCCUGUUGUCCUUUCAGGCCCAUAUUCCACAAGAAGACAAAUGGAGAUGUAAAAGGAAAACUGCAGCUCCGACUGAAGAGAGAGCAAGUUGUCUGUUCUGAUACAGCCAGGAAAUAAGAUGUUCUGGUUAAUAUGUGCUAAAGAUGUGGUGCUGACUUUCCGACUCAGAAUAUGAUCACAUGUUUUUCUCAUUAAAACUAUAUUGAAUAU
This 850-nucleotide long non-coding RNA is filed under the name Homo sapiens (human). RNAcentral's name for it is "non-protein coding lnc-RICTOR-54:6". The record is from RNAcentral. Lineage: Eukaryota; Metazoa; Chordata; Mammalia; Primates; Hominidae.